RNAcentral lists this ribosomal RNA (400 nucleotides) under uncultured bacterium. RNAcentral describes it as "bacterial SSU rRNA". It matches the Rfam family "Bacterial small subunit ribosomal RNA", at positions 356 to 773 of the family's 1533-position model. The record is from RNAcentral.
GGGGAAUAUUGCACAAUGGGGGAAACCCUGAUGCAGCGACGCCGCGUGAGUGAAGAAGUAUUUCGGUAUGUAAAGCUCUAUCAGCAGGGAAGAAAAUGACGGUACCUGACUAAGAAGCCCCGGCUAACUACGUGCCAGCAGCCGCGGUAAUACGUAGGGGGCAAGCGUUAUCCGGAUUUACUGGGUGUAAAGGGAGCGUAGGUGGUUCGGCAAGUCAGAUGUGAAAGCCCGGGGCUCAACCCCGGGACUGCAUUUGAAACUGUCGUACUAGAGUGCAGGAGAGGUAAGUGGAAUUCCUAGUGUAGCGGUGAAAUGCGUAGAUAUUAGGAGGAACACCAGUGGCGAAGGCGGCUUACUGGACUGUAACUGACACUGAGGCUCGAAAGCGUGGGGAGCAAAC